This 253-nucleotide ribosomal RNA is filed under the name uncultured bacterium. Its description in RNAcentral is "partial 16S ribosomal RNA". It matches the Rfam family "Bacterial small subunit ribosomal RNA", at positions 524 to 776 of the family's 1533-position model. The record is from RNAcentral.
UACAGAGGGGGCAAGCGUUAUUCGGAAUUAUUGGGCGUAAAGGGCGCGUAGGCGGCAUGGCAAGUGGAAGGUGAAAUCCCUCGGCUUAACUGAGGAACUGCUCUCCAAACUGCUUUGCUUGAGGCCGGGAGAGGUGAGUGGAAUUCCCAGUGUAGCGGUGAAAUGCGUAGAUAUUGGGAGGAACACCAGUGGCGAAGGCGGCUCACUGGACCGGUUCUGACGCUGAUGCGCGAAAGCGUGGGGAGCAAACGGG